RNAcentral lists this ribosomal RNA (878 nucleotides) under uncultured bacterium. RNAcentral describes it as "bacterial SSU rRNA". It matches the Rfam family "Bacterial small subunit ribosomal RNA", at positions 21 to 905 of the family's 1533-position model. The record is from RNAcentral.
GGCUCAGGACGAACGCUGGCGGCGUGCCUAACACAUGCAAGUCGAACGAGGUCCAUCCAGUGGCAACACUGGUGAAGACCUAGUGGCGAACGGGUGAGUAACACGUGAGGAACCUGCCCCGAAGACCGGGAUAACCCUCCGAAAGGAGAGCUAAUACCGGAUACCCCCAGCUGAUCGCAUGGUCGGCUGAGGAAAUGGAUUCCGCUUCGGGAGGGCCUCGCGGCCUAUCAGCUAGUUGGUGAGGUAACGGCUCAUCAAGGCAUCGACGGGUAGCUGGUCUGAGAGGACGAUCAGCCACACUGGAACUGAGACACGGUCCAGACUCCUACGGGAGGCAGCAGUGGGGAAUCUUGCGCAAUGGGCGAAAGCCUGACGCAGCAACGCCGCGUGGGGGAUGAAGGCUCUCGGGUUGUAAACCCCUUUCAGUAGGGACGAAAAUGACGGUACCUACAGAAGAAGCCCCGGCCAACUACGUGCCAGCAGCCGCGGUAACACGUAGGGGGCAAGCGUUGUCCGGAUUUAUUGGGCGUAAAGAGCUCGUAGGCGGUUCGGUAAGUUGGGUGUGAAACCUCCAGGCUCAACCUGGAGACGCCACCCGAUACUGCUGUGACUAGAGUCCGGUAGGGGAGCGUGGAAUUCCUGGUGUAGCGGUGAAAUGCGCAGAUAUCAGGAGGAACACCAGCGGCGAAGGCGGCGCUCUGGGCCGGAACUGACGCUGAGGAGCGAAAGCGUGGGUAGCAAACAGGAUUAGAUACCCUGGUAGUCCACGCCGUAAACGUUGGGCACUAGGUGUGGGGUCUUAUCAACGGACUCCGUGCCGUAGCUAACGCAUUAAGUGCCCCGCCUGGGGGAGUACGGCCGCAAGGCUAAAACUCAAA